Molecule: ribosomal RNA, 440 nt
Filed under: Bacillus sp. (in: firmicutes)
Lineage: Bacteria; Bacillati; Bacillota; Bacilli; Caryophanales; Bacillaceae
Description: bacterial SSU rRNA
Rfam family: Bacterial small subunit ribosomal RNA
Source: RNAcentral
UCCCCGUGGCGGCGGGCUAUAAUGCAGUCGAGCGGACAGAUGGGAGCUUGCUCCCUGAUGUUAGCGGCGGACGGGUGAGUAACACGUGGGUAACCUGCCUGUAAGACUGGGAUAACUCCGGGAAACCGGGGCUAAUACCGGAUGGUUGUUUGAACCGCAUGGUUCAAACAUAAAAGGUGGCUUCGGCUACCACUUACAGAUGGACCCGCGGCGCAUUAGCUAGUUGGUGAGGUAACGGCUCACCAAGGCAACGAUGCGUAGCCGACCUGAGAGGGUGAUCGGCCACACUGGGACUGAGACACGGCCCAGACUCCUACGGGAGGCAGCAGUAGGGAAUCUUCCGCAAUGGACGAAAGUCUGACGGAGCAACGCCGCGUGAGUGAUGAAGGUUUUCGGAUCGUAAAGCUCUGUUGUUAGGGAAGAACAAGUACCGUUCGAUG